GUGGAUUAGAUACCCUGGUGGUCCACGCUGUAAACUAUGAUUACUCGUUCUCGGCGAUAUACGGUCGGGGACUAAGCGAAAGUGAUAAGUAAUCCACCUGGGGAGUACGAUCGCAAGAUUGAAACUCAAAGGAAUUGACGGGGGCCCGCACAAGCGGUGGAGCAUGUGGUUUAAUUCGAUGAUACGCGAGGAACCUUACCAGGACUUGAACGCAUUUUGACAGAUUGAGAAAUCAGUCGUUCUUCGGACAAUUUGCGAGGUGCUGCACGGCUGUCGCCAACU
RNAcentral lists this ribosomal RNA (282 nucleotides) under uncultured bacterium. RNAcentral's name for it is "partial 16S ribosomal RNA". It matches the Rfam family "Bacterial small subunit ribosomal RNA", at positions 773 to 1060 of the family's 1533-position model. The record is from RNAcentral.